GUGGGGAAUCUUGCGCAAUGGGCGAAAGCCUGACGCAGCGACGCCGCGUGAGUGAUGAAGGCCUUCGGGUUGUAAAGCUCUGUGGGGAGAGACGAAUAAGGCCAGUCGAACAGGCUGGUUGAUGACGGUAUCUCCUUAGCAAGCACCGGCUAACUCUGUGCCAGCAGCCGCGGUAAUACAGAGGGUGCAAACGUUGUUCGGAAUUACUGGGCGUAAAGCGUGUGUAGGCGGCCUGGCAGGUCGGACGUGAAAGCCCUCGGCUCAACCGGGGAAGUGCGUUCGAAACCGCCAGGCUCGAGUGUCGGAGAGGAAGGCGGAAUUGUCGGUGUAGAGGUGAAAUUCGUAGAUAUCGACAGGAACACCUGUGGCGAAAGCGGCCUUCUGGACGAACACUGACGCUGAGACACGAAAGCGUGGGGAGCAAACAGG
Molecule: ribosomal RNA, 429 nt
Filed under: uncultured Phaselicystis sp.
Lineage: Bacteria; Pseudomonadati; Myxococcota; Polyangiales; Phaselicystidaceae
Description: bacterial SSU rRNA
Rfam family: Bacterial small subunit ribosomal RNA
Source: RNAcentral